ACGGGAGGCAGCAGUGGGGAAUAUUGGGCAAUGGGCGAAAGCCUGACCCAGCGACGCCGCGUGAAGGAAGAAGAUCUUCGGAUUGUAAACUUUAGUCAACAGGGACGAAGAAAGUGACGGUACCUGUGGAGGAAGCCACGGCUAACUACGUGCCAGCAGCCGCGGUAAUACGUAUGGAGCAAGCGUUAUCCGGAUUUACUGGGUGUAAAGGGAGCGUAGACGGUAUGGUAAGUCUGAAGUGAAAUGCGGGGGCUCAACUCCUGAACUGCUUUGGAAACUGUCGAACUAGAGUGCAGGAGAGGUAAGUGGAAUUCCUAGUGUAGCGGUGAAAUGCGUAGAUAUUAGGAGGAACACCAGUGGCGAAGGCGGCUUACUGGACUGUAACUGACGUUGAGGCUCGAAAGCGUGGGGAGCAAACAGGAUUAGAUACCCUGGUA
Molecule: ribosomal RNA, 437 nt
Filed under: uncultured Clostridium sp.
Lineage: Bacteria; Bacillati; Bacillota; Clostridia; Eubacteriales; Clostridiaceae
Description: partial 16S ribosomal RNA
Rfam family: Bacterial small subunit ribosomal RNA
Source: RNAcentral